This 468-nucleotide ribosomal RNA is filed under the name uncultured bacterium. RNAcentral's name for it is "partial 16S ribosomal RNA". It matches the Rfam family "Bacterial small subunit ribosomal RNA", at positions 28 to 507 of the family's 1533-position model. The record is from RNAcentral.
GACGAACGCUGGCGGCGUGCUUAACACAUGCAAGUCGAACGGAAAGGCCCUGCUUUUGUGGGGUGCUCGAGUGGCGAACGGGUGCGUAACACGUGAGUAACCUGCCCUUGACUUUGGGAUAACUUCAGGAAACUGGGGCUACUACCGGAUAGGAGCUCCUGCUGCAUGGUGGGGGUUGGAAAUUUUCGGCGGUUGGGGAUGGACUCGCGGCUUAUCAGCUUGUUGGUGGGGUAGUGGCUUACCAAGGCUUUGACGGGUAGCCGGCCUGAGAGGGUGACCGGCCACAUUGGGACUGAGAGACGGCCCAGACUCGUACGGGAGGCAGCAGUGGGGAAUAUGGCACAAUGGGCGGAAGCCUGAUGCAGAAACGCCGCGUGCGGGAUGACGGCCUUCGGGUUGUAAACCGCUUUCGCCUGUGACGAAGCGGGAGUGACGGUAAUGGGUAAAGAAGCACCGGCUAACUACGUG